RNAcentral lists this ribosomal RNA (497 nucleotides) under uncultured bacterium. Its description in RNAcentral is "partial 16S ribosomal RNA". It matches the Rfam family "Bacterial small subunit ribosomal RNA", at positions 28 to 507 of the family's 1533-position model. The record is from RNAcentral.
GAUGAACGCUGGCGGCGUGCCUAAUACAUGCAAGUCGAGCGAACAGACGAGGAGCUUGCUCCUCUGACGUUAGCGGCGGACGGGUGAGUAACACGUGGAUAACCUACCUAUAAGACUGGGAUAACUUCGGGAAACCGGAGCUAAUACCGGAUAAUAUAUUGAACCGCAUGGUUCAAUAGUGAACGACGGUUUUGCUGUCACUUAUAGAUGGAUCCGCGCCGCAUUAGCUAGUUGGUAAGGUAACGGCUUACCAAGGCAACGAUUCGUAGCCGACAUGAGAGGGAGAGCGGCCACACUGGAACUGAGACACGGUCCAGACACCUACGGGAGGCAGCGGUAGGGAAUCUUCCGCAAUGGGCGAAAGCCUGACGGAGCAACGCCGCGUGAGUGAUGAAGGUCUUCGGAUCGUAAAACUCUGUUAUUAGGGAAGAACAAAUGUGUAAGUAACUAUGCACGUCAUGACGGUACCUAAUCAGAAAGCCACGGCUAACUACGUG